Molecule: ribosomal RNA, 471 nt
Filed under: uncultured Nitrosospira sp.
Lineage: Bacteria; Pseudomonadati; Pseudomonadota; Betaproteobacteria; Nitrosomonadales; Nitrosomonadaceae
Description: bacterial SSU rRNA
Rfam family: Bacterial small subunit ribosomal RNA
Source: RNAcentral
ACGGGGGGAGGAAAGUAGGGGAUCGCAAGACCUCUCGCUUUCGGAGUGGCCGAUAUCGGAUUAGCUAGUAGGUGAGGUAAAGGCUCACCUAGGCGACGAUCCGUAGCUGGUCUGAGAGGACGACCAGCCACACUGGGACUGAGACACGGCCCAGACUCCUACGGGAGGCAGCAGUGGGGAAUUUUGGACAAUGGGGGAAACCCUGAUCCAGCCAUGCCGCGUGGGUGAAGAAGGCCUUCGGGUUGUAAAGCUCUUUCAGCUGGAAAGAAAUCGUACUUAUUAAUACUAGGUGCGGAUGACGGUACCAGCAGAAGAAGCACCGGCUAACUACGUGCCAGCAGCCGCGGUAAUACGUAGGGUGCGAGCGUUAAUCGGAAUUACUGGGCGUAAAGCGUGCGCAGGCGGCUUUUUAAGCCAGAUGUGAAAUCCCCGGGCUCAACCUGGGAACUGCGUUUGAAACUACAAAGCUAG